This 631-nucleotide ribosomal RNA is filed under the name uncultured organism. Its description in RNAcentral is "bacterial SSU rRNA". It matches the Rfam family "Bacterial small subunit ribosomal RNA", at positions 876 to 1501 of the family's 1533-position model. The record is from RNAcentral.
GGGAGUACGUCGGCAACGAUGAAACUCAAAGGAAUUGACGGGGGCCCGCACAAGCGGAGGAACAUGUGGUUUAAUUCGAUGAUACGCGAGGAACCUUACCUGGGCUUAAAUGCUGGCUGCAUUCACGCGAAAGCGUGAUUUCCUACGGGACCGCCAGCAAGGUGCUGCAUGGUUGUCGUCAGCUCGUGCCGUGAGGUGUCGGGUUAAGUCCCAUAACGAGCGCAACCCCUAUCGUUAGUUGCCAGCAUGUAAUGGUGGGGACUCUAACGAGACUGCCGGUGUAAACCGGAGGAAGGUGGGGAUGACGUCAAAUCAGCACGGCCCUUACGUCCAGGGCUACACACGUGUUACAAUGGCCGGUACAAAGAGCAGCCACCUGGCGACAGGGUGCUAAUCUCUAAAACCGGUCUCAGUUCGGAUCGAAGUCUGCAAUUCGACUUCGUGAAGAUGGAUUCGCUAGUAAUCGCGCAUCAGCCAUGGCGCGGUGAAUAAGUUCCCGGGCCUUGUACACACCGCCCGUCAAGCCAUGGAAGCCGGGGGUACCUGAAGUCCGUAACCAAUCUCGCCUCGGUGAGGAAGGAGCGGCCUAAGGUAAAACCGGUGACUGGGGCUAAGUCGUAACAAGGUAACC